Molecule: non-coding RNA, 62 nt
Filed under: unclassified sequences
Source: RNAcentral
GGGUACCGCUUUCCUGUCGUCUGUCUGUUCGCUCCGCUCGGUACAAGCGGCUGGCGGGCAUA